This 500-nucleotide ribosomal RNA is filed under the name uncultured Glomeromycotina. RNAcentral describes it as "partial small subunit ribosomal RNA". It matches the Rfam family "Eukaryotic small subunit ribosomal RNA", at positions 591 to 1092 of the family's 1831-position model. Lineage: Eukaryota; Fungi; Glomeromycota. The record is from RNAcentral.
CCAAUAGCGUAUAUUAAAGUUGUUGCAGUUAAAAAGCUCGUAGUUGAAUUUCGGGAUCAAUACGUCGGUCGUGCUUAGGUACGUACUGGCGUAAUUGAUUUCUCCCUUCUGACGAACCAUGAUGUCAUUAACUUGGUGUCAUGGGAAAUCAGGACUGUUACUUUGAAAAAAAUUAGAGUGUUUAAAGCAGGCUCACGCUUGAAUACAUUAGCAUGGAAUAAUGAAAUAGGACGUUCGAUCCUAUUUUGUUGGUUUUUAGGAUCAACGUAAUGAUUAAUAGGGAUAGUUGGGGGCAUUAGUAUUCAAUUGUCAGAGGUGAAAUUCUUGGAUUUAUUGAAGACUAACUACUGCGAAAGCAUUUGCCAAGGAUGUUUUCAUUAAUCAAGAACGAAAGUUAGGGGAUCGAAGACGAUCAGAUACCGUCGUAGUCUUAACCAUAAACUAUGCCGACUAGGGAUCGGAUGAUGUUAAUUUUUUAAUGACUCAUUCGGCGCCUUACG